Molecule: ribosomal RNA, 226 nt
Filed under: Rhizobium sp. DUS463a
Lineage: Bacteria; Pseudomonadati; Pseudomonadota; Alphaproteobacteria; Hyphomicrobiales; Rhizobiaceae
Description: partial 16S ribosomal RNA
Rfam family: Bacterial small subunit ribosomal RNA
Source: RNAcentral
AGGCUUAACACAUGCAAGUCGAGCGCCCCGCAAGGGGAGCGGCAGACGGGUGAGUAACGCGUGGGAAUUUACCUUUUGCUACGGAAUAACGCAGGGAAACUUGUGCUAAUACCGUAUGUGUCCUUCGGGAGAAAGAUUUAUCGGCAAGAGAUGAGCCCGCGUUGGAUUAGCUAGUUGGUGGGGUAAAGGCCUACCAAGGCGACGAUCCAUAGCUGGUCUGAGAGGA